This 28-nucleotide non-coding RNA is filed under the name Homo sapiens (human). Lineage: Eukaryota; Metazoa; Chordata; Mammalia; Primates; Hominidae. The record is from RNAcentral.
UCAUUGACUCUGAUGGCAAGAGGUGGUU